This is a long non-coding RNA of Carya illinoinensis, 831 nucleotides long. RefSeq lists it as uncharacterized. The record is from RefSeq and is a predicted model, not a curated record. NCBI's taxonomy places the organism in Eukaryota, Viridiplantae, Streptophyta, Magnoliopsida, Fagales, Juglandaceae. The transcript is spliced from 2 exons.
UGCCCUCAAAUAGAAAGAAUAGAAACAAAAACGAGGCAAAAGACGAAAAGAUAAAAAACCUCAAUUCUUGCUCUACUCUCUUUGUUUUGCAACCGAGCUCAGAUUCACACUCAAGAAAUUCGUGGCUUCAUGGUGGUCUGGCAUCUUUGAUUUGAGAAAAUUUUUGUGUGCUAUUGUCUAAAACUUGGAACUAGUCUGAGAUCUCAUAGAAACUUCAGCGUCGUGAUCUAAAGCUUGGGUCUUCGUGGUGCUCUGGUGUUUCGUGGCAUCGUCUUCUUCUCAAGGUCGUGUUCAGGUUCGUGAGAUCCUUGAAGUAGAUUUGUGCUGGUAAUUUUUUGGGUCUCUAUGAUCCUCGUGUGGGUCAUCUUCAAGUGAAGUGGAUCUGUACUAGCAAUUUUGUAGGUAUUUAGGAUCCCCGUAUGGGUCAUCUUCAAGACCCCGAUUCCCAAAAUGGUAAAAGAGCAUGACUAACUCUGCAUGGUGCAUGCAUGCUUGAGACUUCUAAUUGGCCUAUGCAUCUUCCAACUUUUCCUUCACAUGCCUGAGUCUGUGGAGGCUGUGCUACUUAGGACAUGUUGAAGCUGCAAUGGAGAGUAUCCACUCCUUGAGCAAAUGCAUUUAUGUUUAAUUGUAUAAUGUAAUUUAGCUUCAUUCCCAAACUAGCCAGAAUAGAAGUGGGAGAACAAAUGCAUUUAUGUUUAAUUGUAUAAUGUAAUUUAACCAGUAUGUACGAGUCUGUGGGUGUUUCAUUUAAUUGAAAAGUUUGUAAAUUUGGGAGAAUAGAUUGCAGUAGAAAGUAGAAACUACAAAUAUGAGAAUUAUCUUAUGGCA